GAUGAACGCUAGCUACAGGCUUAACACAUGCAAGUCGAGGGGAAACGAUAGAGAAAGCUUGCUUUUUCUAGGCGUCGACCGGCGCACGGGUGAGUAACGCGUAUCCAACCUGCCCAUCACUUGGGGAUAACCUUGCGAAAGUAAGACUAAUACCCAAUGACGUCUCUAGAAGACAUCUGAAAGAGAUUAAAGAUUUAUCGGUGAUGGAUGGGGAUGCGUCUGAUUAGCUUGUUGGCGGGGUAACGGCCCACCAAGGCGACGAUCAGUAGGGGUUCUGAGAGGAAGGUCCCCCCACAUUGGAACUGAGACACGGUCCAAACUCCUACGGGAGGCAGCAGUGAGGAAUAUUGGUCAAUGGGCGAGAGCCUGAACCAGCCAAGUCGCGUGGAGGAAGACUGCCCUACGGGUUGUAAACUCCUUUUACCUGGGAAUAACGGGCGCUACGCGUAGCGCUGUGCAUGUACCGGGAGAAUAAGGCAAUCGGACUAAUUCCGUG
RNAcentral lists this ribosomal RNA (496 nucleotides) under uncultured bacterium. Its description in RNAcentral is "bacterial SSU rRNA". It matches the Rfam family "Bacterial small subunit ribosomal RNA", at positions 28 to 507 of the family's 1533-position model. The record is from RNAcentral.